GCACAUUUAUCUAGUUUAAACCUUUAAACUAACAUUGUGAUAUGCUUGAACUGUUGUAUGUAUAGGUUUUAUUUUAGGCGAGUCAAUGAUUUGAGAAG
This is a long non-coding RNA of Sinocyclocheilus grahami, 98 nucleotides long. RefSeq lists it as uncharacterized. NCBI's taxonomy places the organism in Eukaryota, Metazoa, Chordata, Actinopteri, Cypriniformes, Cyprinidae. The transcript is spliced from 3 exons. The record is from RefSeq and is a predicted model, not a curated record.